GUCCGUGUAGCGCAACUGGUAGGAGGCACCACCUUGAGGGGGUGGACAGUGGAGGUUCGAAUCCUCUCACGGACA
Molecule: transfer RNA, 75 nt
Filed under: bacterium
Lineage: Bacteria
Description: tRNA-Leu
Rfam family: tRNA
About the family: Transfer RNA (tRNA) molecules are approximately 80 nucleotides in length. Their secondary structure includes four short double-helical elements and three loops (D, anti-codon, and T loops).
Source: RNAcentral